ACAUCUCGCACAAAACUGAAACCCAAAGAGACUCUGUAGGCAGACUUGAUAAGUUCCAUCUCUUUCGAAGGAUAACACCUUGGCGUGAUCAGAUUGUGAUAGAGAUGACAUUCAAGAUGAAGCUUGGUUCUUAUAGUUCAAUUUGGAGAGGGAGUCUGGGUCUCCCGUUCUGUAUAAAUAAGAGCACCCUUCACUUUGAUUUUGCAUUCCCCAUCAAGAACGCGCAUUGGGCAUCUCGAGUCGUGGCUUCUCCUCGAGGUACCACAUCUUUUGAAGAAAACAUAACCAUCCCAGCAUUUUGGUGCUUGUGACUUCGAGAAAACAUUCGGGCUUCAUUCCGGCCAGUCAGGUGACCUUCAGAUUGUCUUAGGAUUGAUUGCAUGAGUUCAAUCCUUCACGCGUACUGAGGAAGCCUAGAAGAAGUUUUGUGAUCGCAGGUGAGCCAAGUAGAACACACUACUGGUUUGUGAUUGAAAGUGAGCUAAACCGAGCGUUCUGCAGACUCGUGGCUGGAGGUGGAGAUAUACUUGGCGUUGAAACUCUGCACGGGGAUCAUCUUGAAGCAGCUUCCCCACUGUUGUGAACUCGGGAACUUUGCAGGACCGUACUUGACGUGAACUGGCAGCCACCAAGCAUUCACCUGACAUACUCAUUUUUGCCACCCAUAUGCAGGACGCACCGCAAUACAGGCAUCAAAAACAAGUAUGGUGAACCCCCUUGAACUUGAAGCUUGCUUCCGCCACCUAUACGCAGGACGCACCGGAAGCUUGCUUCCGCCACCUAUAUGCAGGACGCACCGCAGUAUAGGCAUCGAAAGCAAGUGCAGUAUGGAGUGACAUCACGGCUGUGAAUGAGGGCUUGAUGUCGACUUUGUGUCUUGCCCGGAAGCCGUUGGUGAGAUUUGUGAGGAUGACAGCAACGAGGGACUCUUGGAGAGAGGAUAGAGAUAGAGUGAUAGACCAUCAACUUCUUGUUUGGAGUGCUCAUAGUCUUACAUGAUCACCUAUUUACCUUUCUGUAAUCAUAUAAUGUAGAACAAAAAGAGAACACUUGAGUGAAAAUGAUAAUUGACAGCAUAUAGAAGAAAUUAUACCCACUGCUCUAUGUUUGGAGCUUCUCGUGGUC
Rosa rugosa (rugosa rose) is the source of this 1125-nucleotide long non-coding RNA. RefSeq lists it as uncharacterized. The record is from RefSeq and is a predicted model, not a curated record. NCBI's taxonomy places the organism in Eukaryota, Viridiplantae, Streptophyta, Magnoliopsida, Rosales, Rosaceae. The transcript has 6 exons.